GUUUCAUCAGCUAGAAGUUUUAUUUAUUUUAUUUAUUUCAUGAUUUGUCCUGUUUGAGGAGCGUAAGACAGGACUGAAAAGCAUUAAGCGAUGCAUCCCAGAUUAUCAAAAUAUUGUGAUAACGUUUCUCUAAGUAUGUAUCAAAGUCCUUGUAAAGCAUGUCCACUUGGCGCCCAUCUUGUUGACUGGCAAUUACUUACCAGAAGUGGAUCGACAAGAGGAUGUUUUAAGCACAGAUUUGAAAUGGUUGUAAAUAAUGUGUGGCUUUUGGUUCAAAUAACAUAUUUACAUAUUUAUAUUAACAUAUUUAUUCAGAUUGCUCUAUCUACUAUGCACAAGUAAAGAAGAAAAAUGCCCAAUAUCUGCUAGUGUCAGUUUAAGAAUCUGAUAGGCCAGCAUUUUCAGCUAACAUCUUAACCAACAAGGCAAUUGGCUCUUUUUUACUGGAGGGCGGGACUUGCUUAUUUCAGCCAACAUAUUAAGUGUUACAUUCUGCCUUAUUCAUAUUUCAAGCAGUGGGUUGUUUUCACUCAAACUAUCUCUGGUAUGUAAUUCCUACUGCUAGUUUGGCUAAAGCACUAUUCCCUGGCAGGGGUGUGACAAGAUCCUUGGUAUAAUCCAAAAUGUCUUAUUACUUUUACAUUUGCAUUCACCUCAUUUGUCUGAUGCUUUUAUUUCUGUGGCAUAGUAGUGGUUGUUUUUAAUAUAUGAAAAAUCCUAUUUUAUUCAAUGAAAUAGACUGCUAAAAUUGCAAAAUUAAAGGAAAACUGAACAAAAUAGCUCACCCCCAUAGUUCACAACAGUGGACUAGUCCUUUUUGCUUGGUUAGCCAUUAGCUAUCUUUCUAUAUGUAAGUUGGUAUGUAAGCUAUUACCAUUAACUAAUAAAACAGUAAUGAGAGUGGCUGAGAAAGACACCUUCUUUUACCAAGAUGGGUAUAAACCAGAGGAAGGAUACAAGAGACAGGAGAAGAGGUGAACAAGUAACCGAGAGAGGAGCGGAUGUGAAUGCUGAAGCAACACAGAGACAGGAGAGGAGGGCAGGUGAUGCUCUCGGAUGAUCUCUUCAUUGCUUCUGUGUGGCUGGUAAUGUGUUUAAACAAUCAGAUGGGUUGCUAGACUUCUGUGGCACUAAUUAUAGCUUUUUAUUUUUGCCCUUUGAUCAUUAUUUACCAUCUUUAAAAUGUAUUAUUAUUAUUAUUGUUAUUAUUAUUAUUAUUAUAAGAUAGUAAUAUGGUGAUAGCAUUUUGAAAUGAUGACUUUGUGUGAGCAUGGGUGGGUGUCUUAACAGGUUCCAGGUAUUUUGCAUCUAAUCGUUCAAAAAGAAUCUCUCUUCUUUCAUCGAACAAGCACACAAACAAACAAACUGUCAAGAAGACAAGAUUGUCUGUGCAGGGCCCUUGCCGGCCACCCUGCCUACUGUAUAUUCACUGACUGCAUGGGCUCUGCUUAAAGGAGGGUCAUUAGCAGUUCUCACAUGUAAACUAUUAAGAGAAGAAAGGCUUGAAACAGGUUUAUUUAUGCCCUGGACUCCCAAAGAGCACCUACAAAAAAGUUAAUGAUAGCAGUUCAAGUAGGCUAAUGAUUUUGGUCAGACUUUAAAUAGCUUUGUGCAUGUGGGUGUCACGAAACCCUCGUGUUAAGGACCUGGUUUCACAGUUCCUGUUCCGGUUCUGCCUUGGCCACAACUCGUGAUCAUUGUUUGAACCUUUGUCUAAGUUUGACGCACACAUGUCUUGUUUCCCCAGUAACAAAUAUUGUAUAUAAUUUUGUUUGUUCUUUGUCCUUGUGAAGUAUUGCACCUGUUAGUGAUCCAUUUCUGAGCUGUCUUUGCCUGUUCUUUGACCCAUGCUAUGGAUUAUGAUCAUGACAUUUGGGAAAAAAAACUACUAAAUAAAAAGACUAUGUUUACAUCCAGAAGACUUUGCCAAACAUGAAUGUAGUGACGCUUAGUAGACUGCAAGAUAAACUGUUGGCUCAAGUUUCAACAGCAGCAGUGCAACCUUGAGGAUAAAAAAGUUCCUGUCCUUUCUCACUUCCACCAUUGUUCAAGCUGUCAGUAAGCUGUUUUCUCCUCUAGCCUUAGCAGUUUGAAUAACUGGCUGUUGAAUAACUGGCUUUUGAAUAACUGGCUGGUGAGAAGCUGCACCCCAUUCUUCAACAUAAUUCACCUUUUUGCUGCAUCUCACCUGGACUUCCCAAGAAUUGGGAGAAUCGAAAAUCUGUCUUCUUCUAAUCUCAAGACUCCUGUUCAUUAUAUUUUAAUAGAGAACCAUAUGUAUCUUUUCACCACCUCUAGUAAUAUUUACUUUUCUCUGUAUAGCUGUACUAUAUUUCCCAGUAUAGGCUUGGUUCCCUUUUGAGCCUGGUUUCUGUCCAGGUCUAAUUUUCAGGGAGUUUUUCCUUGCCACUGUCACAGUUGGCUUGCUCAUUACUGUAUAUCAAAGUCCAUAUUUCUGUGAAGCUGUUUUGUGGCAGUGGCAGUUUUUAAAUGUGCUUUACGAAUUAAACUGAUAUAUACUGAAUUGAAAAGUUUCCACUUUACCUUGAGCAUGUAUUGAGAACACCUCUUCCUGAACUAAAUAUUUUGCAGUCAUUUUCUCACAUGGUAAGUUUGUGAGUGAUUCACUAAUCCCUAAAGCCUAGACUGCAGCUUAUGUCUUUCAAUCUACUGACCCGUUAAAUUGACUUCCAAAAACUCCCUCCAUGUCAGCCUCUAUGUUGUGUGGUUUCUUGUCUCUCUCAUAUGACACUGCAUUUGUUGUUUCCUGUUUCCCUGGCAGCCAUCUAUACUGUGUCCCUAGUUGGUGCUCCUCUCAUCUAAAAAUUUCAGAACAACCCUUGUCUAAAUCUUUGUCCUCCAGUCCUGAAACAGAUGCACUGCUAUGCUAUUUCCGGCCUCUGUGAACUUUACAGGUUAGAGAAAUACAUUCUCAUGAGACAGGAUACAGAGUGAAUAAGCCAGUGACAAUGCAGUGGCCACUCUAAAGCUCUAAAUCCAAGACUACCACAAAGCUAAAAUCCAGUUACAGAGGGGCUAGUAGAGUGCAAGUAGAGAGUGUUUUUUUCUGUGUAGAUUUAAGUGCUUAAGUGUUUAGUGAUGAGGCAGUUCUUCAAAUCUUUGUUUAAAGACAGCCAGUGACUCAGUUGUUUGGACAGCCAGGGGGAGUUUAUUACGCCACCUGGCUGCCAGUUCAGAGAAAAAUCUUAAUGCAUGUCUUCCACGUUUCUUGAUGCAGAGCAGGUCAGGGUCAAGAUGCUAGUGCUACACAACGGGAUAUGAUAAGUGUCUUCAGGGAAGUGGAAGCUGGUUCAUUUGUGGCGUUGUAGGCAAACAUCAGUGUUUUUCAAAGUUGACAAAACACCUGAGUGGCCUCUGUCAAGAGAAAAGGCCAGAUCCUAUUGAUGUUUUGGAAGGGAAACCUACAUGACUGAGUCAGGUUAUCAACAUGAGCAGAAAAUGACAGCUGUCCAGGUCUAUACCAAAUCUGUUUCAUGGUCCAUUGUCAAGUGUUGUGAUCAAAGGGUUCUCCAGGGAGAGGACUUGUUGUGAGGGUGUAUCUCCAGGCAAAUGUAGGAGCUCAGUCUUGCUGGGAUUUAGUUUCAGGUAAUGAGCUGCCAUCCAUAAUGAGAUGUCUGUCAGGCAUGCCAGAAUCCAAGCUGAGUCUGAGGGAGAAAAAAAGGUAAGGUGUUGUGGAGGGUAAAUAGAGACUAGUAGAAAAGGGGGAGAUAGAAAGAGGACCAAGAACUGAAUCUUGUAGGACACCAGUGGAAACUCUGAAUGGAGCAGACUUAGAUCCCCUCCAUGUCACCUAGGUAGGAAACUAACAAGUCUCCAAAGAAACUCAAAAGAAAAAGACAGGAGAUUCUUGUUAUUGACCAUAUCAAAGCCUGCUGAGAAGUGAAGAGGGAUCAGGACUAAUGACUGGCUGGCUAAUAUAGUGCCAUGAAUCAUCUCAGUAAAAGCCACAAAGGCAGUUUCUUUGGAGUCUGCCGCCUUGAAGCCUGACUAUUUCGGGACUUGGAGGUCAUUCUGUAUAAGAAAGAGAGGCAGCUGAUUGUAAAAAGGAUGUUCUAGAGAAAGAAGAGAAGUGAUACCAGUCGUUAGGUGUCUAGUUUGGGCUAUUUUAGAUUGUGUAUAACCCUUGCUGUCUAGAAAGCUGCUGGUAUGUGACCAGAAGAUAAGCAAGACAGUUCCUGACCAGUUUCCUGUCCUUAACUCAGUUCCUUAGCCCAGGGGUUUUCAAACUGGGGUCCUUGACAGAAAAACUUGACAGAAAUAAAAAAAUUUACAUGAUUUACUUAAGAGUUUGUUUUAAAUAAUUUAUUUUUUAUCCUAAGACUAUUAAUAACCAAAUCUGUAUAUAGUUUUGUGAUUUAUAUGAGUGGAUCCUUGUAAUGUAUUUAUCCCAAAAUACUUUGCACUUUUAUUGUUUUGCAUUUUACAGUAGGCUAAUCUGAACGGAGCAGUUAGCGGCUGUGUAUGUGCUCUACAAAUAAUGGAAAAAUUUUUGAAGAAUCCUGAUCCUGCAAGCAGUUCGUGUAAAUCUGAUGAAACUAAGGCGGACACUAAGGCAAAAACUAGAAAAUAUGACAAAUCUUACACUGCGUUUGGUUUUACCUGCAUGUUAAAGCAGGGAGACCGCAGUGUGUUCUCCGUCAAGAGAUUCUCUCCAACGAGUGCAUGAAACCAUCCAAGCUCAAACGACAUCUACAGCAGAAACAUCCCAAUGAGGCAGGAAAAUCAACUGACUAUUUCAAACAUCAGGAGCUGUGUUUGGCCCGGCAGUCUAGUAUUUUUCGGCAGCAAGCAUCAGUCCCUGAGAGGUGUUUAAAAGCAUCAUAUUUGGCAUCCCUCCACAUUGCACGUGCUAAGAAGCGGCACAAAGUUGGCGAAACAUUAUUAUUACCAGCUACUAAAGACAUCGUCAGGGAGUUAUUUGGAGAGGAAGCGGCACGAAAGGUAGAUUGUGUGCCUUUGUCGGACAAUACGGUGAGCAGACGCAUAGGUGAGAUGGCCAGUGAUAUUGCAUUGCAACUUUUAGAAUAACUGCAAGCCAGUGAAUACUUUGUGCUGCAGUUGGAUGAACGUACUGAUGUAGCGAAUCAAGCACAGCUAAUGGUCUAUAUACGUUUCCUUGAUAAGGACAAAUUUAUUGAGGAACUUCUCUUUUCUCUCGCUUCAAGUGCCCUUGAAGGCAGAACCAUGGGGCAGGACAUCUUUAAUAUGAUGGAUCAAUUCAUAACGGACAAUUCAAUAGACUGGUCUCGCUGUAUUGGAGUGUGUACUGUCGGCCAAACAUAAUGCUUUUCCUUUAAACCAAAAAGUUCUAUUUUAGAUUCAUGUGUCCAGAACAUUCUUCCAUUGGGCUUCUGGCUUAUCCAUGUGCUUUGAGCAAACUUCGGUUGGGCAGCAGUGUUUUUUUUUUGUUUUUUUUUUGAGAGAAGUGGCUUCCUCCUUGCUAUCCUGCUAUGCACACCAUUCAUGAUAAGUGUUUUGCCUGAUGGUGGACUCAUGAACAUUGACAUUACUCAUGAGUGGCCUGUAGGUUCUUAGAUUUUACCCCAGGGUUCUUUGUGACUUCCUGUAAAGUUAUUCGCUGCACCCUUGGAGUGAUUUUUGAUGGACGGCUACACUCCUUGGGAGAGUAACAGUGGCACUGAAUUUCCUCCAUUUGUAUAUCAUCUGCCUCACAGUGGAUUGGUGGAGGCCACAGUUUAUGUUCUUGAAACGUGGGAGGG
Molecule: long non-coding RNA, 5741 nt
Organism: Pangasianodon hypophthalmus (striped catfish)
Lineage: Eukaryota; Metazoa; Chordata; Actinopteri; Siluriformes; Pangasiidae
Exons: 4
Source: RefSeq, a predicted model, not a curated record